RNAcentral lists this ribosomal RNA (549 nucleotides) under uncultured Glomeromycotina. Its description in RNAcentral is "SSU rRNA". It matches the Rfam family "Eukaryotic small subunit ribosomal RNA", at positions 548 to 1098 of the family's 1831-position model. The record is from RNAcentral. Lineage: Eukaryota; Fungi; Glomeromycota.
UUGGAGGGCAAGUCUGGUGCCAGCAGCCGCGGUAAUUCCAGCUCCAAUAGCGUAUAUUAAAGUUGUUGCAGUUAAAAAGCUCGUAGUUGAAUUUCGGGAUCAAUUUAUUGGUCGUGCCAACGGUACGCACUGGUACAAUUGGUUUCUCCCUUCUGACGAAGCAUGAUGUCAUUAAUUUGAUGUCGUGGAAAAUCAGGACUGUUACUUUGAAAAAAUUAGAGUGUUUAAAGCAGGCUUUGGCUUGAAUACAUUAGCAUGGAAUAAUGAAAUAGGACGUUUGAUCUUAUUUCGUUGGUUUCUAAGAUCGACGUAAUGAUUAAUAGGGAUAGUUGGGGGCAUUAGUAUUCAAUUGUCAGAGGUGAAAUUCUUGGAUUUAUUGAAGACUAACUACUGCGAAAGCAUUUGCCAAGGAUGUUUUCAUUAAUCAAGAACGAAAGUUAGGGGAUCGAAGACGAUCAGAUACCGUCGUAGUCUUAACCAUAAACUAUGCCGACUAGGGAUCGGAUGAUGUUAAUUUUUUAAUGACUCAUUCGGCGCCUUACGGGAAAC